Molecule: ribosomal RNA, 460 nt
Filed under: uncultured bacterium
Lineage: Bacteria
Description: partial 16S ribosomal RNA
Rfam family: Bacterial small subunit ribosomal RNA
Source: RNAcentral
CCUACGGGGUGCAGCAGUGAGGAAUAUUGGUCAAUGGACGAGAGUCUGAACCAGCCAAGUAGCGUGAAGGAUGACUGCCCUAUGGGUUGUAAACUUCUUUUAUAUGGGAAUAAAACGUUCCACGUGUGGGAUUUUGUAUGUACCAUAUGAAUAAGGAUCGGCUAACUCCGUGCCAGCAGCCGCGGUAAUACGGAGGAUCCGAGCGUUAUCCGGAUUUAUUGGGUUUAAAGGGAGCGUAGGUGGAUUGUUAAGUCAGUUGUGAAAGUUUGAGGCUCAACCGUAAAAUUGCAGUUGAAACUGGCAGUCUUGAGUACAGUAGAGGUGGGCGGAAUUCGUGGUGUAGCGGUGAAAUGCUUAGAUAUCACGAAGAACUCCGAUUGCGAAGGCAGUUCACUGGACUGCAACUGACACUGAGGCUCGAAAGUGUGGGUAUCAAACAGGAUUAGAUACCCCUGUAGUC